UACAGAGGUGGCAAGCGUUGUUCGGAAUUACUGGGCGUAAAGGGCGCGUAGGCGGUCGCCUAAGUCGGACGUGAAAUCCCCAAGCUUAACUUGGGAACUGCGUCUGAUACUGGGUGACUUGAGUUCGGGAGAGGAAUGUGGAAUUCCAGGUGUAGCGGUGAAAUGCGUAGAUAUCUGGAGGAACACCGGUGGCGAAGGCGGCAUUCUGGACCGAAACUGACGCUGAGGCGCGAAAGCCAGGGGAGCAAACGGG
Molecule: ribosomal RNA, 253 nt
Filed under: uncultured bacterium
Lineage: Bacteria
Description: partial 16S ribosomal RNA
Rfam family: Bacterial small subunit ribosomal RNA
Source: RNAcentral